CGCGAACCAUGGGCACCUGACAGGCUGAUCCCACGUUCUAGAAAACCUGAGGGUCGUGCGCCCCUUCAUUUCGUCUGUUCAUCUUCUCUCUCUAGGGUUUCUCUCUCUUCUCCAUCCGUUCUCGCAGCCAUCGCCGAAAUUGCUUGCAUCACCCACUAUUGUUGUGCGCCUUUGGAUCCCAGCGCGGAAUCAGUGGGGUAUGAAGCGAAGAUUAGACCCAGUUCAUCGUCACGAGCAGCCGGAAUCCGGAGGGGAGAGUGUUGGAAUCGCAGAUCAGAUGCAUCAGGGGUUGGCUUCGAAUCCAGUGGUGCAGGCUCAGAAUCAGCGUCGUUUCCAUUGCCCAGCAAAAUUAAAGAGUUGGGGCCUGGGGGGCGCAGGGGGUGGAGAGCUGGCAGUGAUUCUGGUGAUUUUUGUUCCUAUCGUCUCCAGAUCGAGGGAACUGUGAGGACCAGGGGCAACGAAUCAGUGCCCAGCCUGUGCUCCUUGGGGGCAGCCGCAAUACCGGGGUAAUGCAUUUUCAGAGGUAAACCCCAUGCCCAACCAACAAGAUGCGAUUUCCCCCAGGUCUUUCUGCCGUGUGGGUGUUGUCUAGUCCUCCUGCGCGAUUCAAGCCGAUUCGAUUUCUGUGUGCAGCAUGUAUUUUAGCCCCCACCUACUGGCUGCAGUAGUAUUUUGGUAGAGAUUGGCGUGGUGGGAGUGCGUGUAGUGCUGGUAAAGAUUGCUACAUAUAUUGUUGUUCUGCAGGGAAGUCAAAUCGAUGCAAGCCAUUAAUUGUUGGUUUUCUGUCCUUGUGCAAUAGCUGCUCCAGAUCGAUACAAAUAUUAUACUGUGCUUAGCUCGUGUAGUUUUACCUUUGUAUGUAUCAAUUUUUACUUGAGUGCUCAUGUGCUUUUACCCCAUGGCUCUAUAACUUUUUUCUCCCAUCCAACAGCAAGUGCUUAUGUGAUUUUACUUAAUGACAGGGAGCUGUAGCACAUGUCUUCUAGCUUUUGCAUUCUCUCUCAUGUAGGAAAAUUAAUUUGAGAUAGCUGAUCAUUUUCCAUAAUCAUUGCCUUUGCCUUUUUUUAUGCUUUUUGUGUGGCCAGAUUUGUGUUUUAUCCGUGUUUUUCAGUGUUCCUCUCUGGAAUGCUGUGAUAUGGAUUGGUCUUUAGACACAGUAACAACAAGAUCACCACUAGAGAUGGGCUUAAGUUGUAAAUCUAUAUUUCUACCAUUUUUAAAUCCGAUCAUUUUUAGACUCCUGUUAUGCAUUGGUGGUCCAGAAUAGAACCUAAUCAUUUUGCAGGGGCUUGACUAUGCAAGUGCAGAACUACAUGGUGGUUGCUUGCGACCCACAAACUUUUCUACUGGCAUUGUUAGAAGCAUUUAAUACAUUUUAGUAGGUAUUUAAAUACUAUUCAGAUAGCAUUUUUAGUGUUCAGUUCAAGCAAUUUUUUUAACAUUUUAUAUGUCUCAUGUGAUGGCCGAUAGACUCUCCUUUUGUUCGGAACCAAGUCUUUUACAUCAUUACAAUCUAAAGUUUCCUUCUCGUGGUGUUUGUUUCUUUGCUCUACACCCUAUGGGGAAAUAGCUAAAUUCAGGCAUGUGCAUCUAAAAAUAGCUAAAUUCAGAUAUGGUGUGAUGCUACAUCUAUUUAGUGUCAUGUGUAAUCACUGUCAUUGAAUGAUUUAUAUGUUUAAUACAAUCUGAAAUUGUUACAUUUAUCUGGCAUACUGUUUUUUAUCCUUUUUUGGAAUAUUACAUACAAUGCAUUAAUUUGGGGAAAUUGCAGUUAUUCUUCUCCCAGAUUAAAGAUACUAUGGGGAUACAUGUCAAAAAAGUGGAGUCCAUUUCUCCACCACGUUCGGUUUGACCUUCCUACUUAUGUAUGUUGUGUCACCUUGUAGGCAACAUAUACUGAAUCGACAAGUAAUAUAUUUAUUAUAAUUUAGCAUUUUUGUUCUUCUAAUUUAGCAUUUUUUAUGUUCUGAUGAUAAAUAUUUUCAGGGAAUUUGAUUUAUUUUGCUCUCUCACUUGUCCUACAUUGCUUUUGAGUCCACUAUUUCUUUUUUUUGAAAUAGUACUUGCAAACAGUGUUCCGAUAUUAAUUAAGAAGUUGAUCUCUCAUCUCAUGCUGCCAUGCCGCGCGGUGCUUGCAAGGGGUUAAUCCAUCCUCUUGUUGCAGGGUACACUCAGGAUUUGACCAGGACACCAACAUUUAGGUGGGUGAUUUGGGCAUUUUCGAUUCAGUUGCUCUUCGUUUGUUCAGGGGUUUAAUCUGGGGUGGGUGGGUGGUGUAUUCAUAUUGGUGUUGAUUUGGGUUUCAUGAACGAAGCUUCAGUUUGGUUACUGAAUGCGAAAUUGUUAUCUUGUUCUUCAUAUCAUCAUAACCAUUUCAGUACUUUGCAAUAGGUAUUUUUGUCAAAUAGUAGAAGCAUUUUCGGUACUUUCCUAGGCAUUUCAUUACUUUUCAGUAGGCAAAUACAUCAAUUAUGAGACACGUUUCAGUACUUUCUAGUAGGCAAAUACAUCAAAUACUAGAAGCAUUUUCAGAACUAGGCAAUAAUAUUGGUAGGAAUUGGGCAAUAAUAUUGGUAGGAAAUGGGCAAUAAUAUUUGUUCUUGAUAGGCAAUAACAUGGGUUACAAUUGGUAUUUUUCUGCCAAAGGUUACAUGUGGCUUCUACAUGAUGCAGCUGUUGAAGCCGAUGAAUCAUCAUGUGGAAACUGCUAUCGCUUAAAGUAUUGCAGUAUAGAUAGUUGAUGCACCUGUAGGAGCUGCAUCACCAUAAAUUAUUAGAUGCUAAAUCUAAUGUUUUCAUCAGGCAAGAAUAAUAUACUUUGUGUCUUGUAGUGUCGAUCUAAUGUUUUAUGUAGGCAACAUACUGCAAAGUCUUUAACCCCUACUACUUUAAUUUCCUCUAAUUAUGUUCUUUUUUAAAAGCAUUGCAGGUCGUGGCGUGGUUAGGAAAGGAAGCAAAUAGUCAUUUCCUCUAAUGUUAUUUGCUUGUAUAUUUAAUCUAAUUUUGCUUCAAAUCAAUCUGUGUUAUUUGCUUGUACAUUUUUUCUAAAUUACUUCGGAGUUUAUUAUAAUAUGCUUCUAAUUUUUAAUAGAAGUGAUUUUGGAACUUUAUGAGAAAAAUAUGAUCGAAAUAUAUUGAAGUGA
Panicum virgatum (switchgrass) is the source of this 3143-nucleotide long non-coding RNA. RefSeq lists it as uncharacterized. The transcript has 4 exons. NCBI's taxonomy places the organism in Eukaryota, Viridiplantae, Streptophyta, Magnoliopsida, Poales, Poaceae. The record is from RefSeq and is a predicted model, not a curated record.